Molecule: long non-coding RNA, 479 nt
Filed under: Elaeis guineensis (African oil palm)
Lineage: Eukaryota; Viridiplantae; Streptophyta; Magnoliopsida; Arecales; Arecaceae
Description: long non-coding RNA (EGUI_LNC058809)
Source: RNAcentral
GUGAUCGAUCGUUGUAGAAAUCCAGCUGCUGGAGUCCGUCCGUCGUAGAAGCUCGUCCGAUAUCCAUCUUCUAUGGAAGUUCGGACGGAGUCUGAUUCUUGUAGAAGGCUGAAAGGAGACCGCUUAUUGUAGAAGCUCGGUCGAGGAUCGGUUGUCAUGGGAGCUUAGAGUAGCGACCUGGUCGGUGGGUCCUGUCCCAUUGUAGAAGCUCGUCUGUGAUCCGGCUACGAAGAAGCUCGGCUGAAGUCUACCUGUGAUAGAAGUUCGGAAGAAAUGUGUUUACAGUAGAGGCUCGAAUGGAAUUUGCUUACAGUAGAGAUCCAGGGUAGACCGUCCGCUGUAGGAGUUCGGAGUAGACCGAUCGUAGUAGAAGUUUGGAGUAGACCGCUCGUAGUAGAAGUUCGACUGUCGCAGGAGCUUGGUUGGAAUCCUGAAGGCAGUCGACCGUCGUAGAAACUUGGACGGAGUCUGAUUACUGU